CCUACGGGAGGCAGCAGUAGGGAAUCUUCGGCAAUGGACGGAAGUCUGACCGAGCAACGCCGCGUGAGUGAAGAAGGUUUUCGGAUCGUAAAGCUCUGUUGUAAGAGAAGAACGAGUGUGAGAGUGGAAAGUUCACACUGUGACGGUAUCUUACCAGAAAGGGACGGCUAACUACGUGCCAGCAGCCGCGGUAAUACGUAGGUCCCGAGCGUUGUCCGGAUUUAUUGGGCGUAAAGCGAGCGCAGGCGGUUAGAUAAGUCUGAAGUUAAAGGCUGUGGCUUAACCAUAGUACGCUUUGGAAACUGUUUAACUUGAGUGCAAGAGGGGAGAGUGGAAUUCCAUGUGUAGCGGUGAAAUGCGUAGAUAUAUGGAGGAACACCGGUGGCGAAAGCGGCUCUCUGGCUUGUAACUGACGCUGAGGCUCGAAAGCGUGGGGAGCAAACAGGAUUAGAUACCCCAGUAGUC
RNAcentral lists this ribosomal RNA (465 nucleotides) under uncultured Streptococcus sp. RNAcentral describes it as "bacterial SSU rRNA". It matches the Rfam family "Bacterial small subunit ribosomal RNA", at positions 338 to 795 of the family's 1533-position model. The record is from RNAcentral. Lineage: Bacteria; Bacillati; Bacillota; Bacilli; Lactobacillales; Streptococcaceae.